This 205-nucleotide ribosomal RNA is filed under the name Corynebacterium sp. P4_F2. Its description in RNAcentral is "partial 16S ribosomal RNA". It matches the Rfam family "Bacterial small subunit ribosomal RNA", at positions 1 to 204 of the family's 1533-position model. The record is from RNAcentral. Lineage: Bacteria; Bacillati; Actinomycetota; Actinomycetes; Mycobacteriales; Corynebacteriaceae.
UUUGUGGAGAGUUUGAUCCUGGCUCAGGAUGAACGCUGGCGGCGUGCUUAACACAUGCAAGUCGAACGGAAAGGCCCUUGCUUGCAGGGGUACUCGAGUGGCGAACGGGUGAGUAACACGUGGGUGAUCUGCCCUGCACUUCGGGAUAAGCCUGGGAAACUGGGUCUAAUACCGGAUAGGACCAUCGUUUAGUGUCGGUGGUGGA